GGCUGCUUUGUGUGCGUGUCUUUUUGGCAUUUAUGGAGCUUAGUUGUUUUUUGUGUUUGUAUGUUCUAAGAUUUUGUUUUUUUUGAUGGUCAAAUAGUGUGUGUGCUGAGCGUGGUUGGCAGGAGGAGGUGGGGAGCAGCUCAGGACUGGUAGGUUUGGUUUCUCGGGGUGUGCGGCAGCCUUCCUGUGCAAUGCGACUGAUUGUUGGCCAGAACGUUCCAGCUUGUGUGUCUUAGGCAAUGUAGCUUGUGUAGUUUGUGUUGUGUGGCCCGGGCAGAGUUUGCUGUGCUGCUGUGAGCGAAGAAUCUGAGUUAGAGCUGGUGAGCAGCUGAAGUACCGGAGCUGGGAAGAGAGAGGUCUUGCAGCAGGUACGCUGUGGCUGUGAGGUGCCUCAGAGUGUGCGUUUCUCUUGUCUUUACAGGUGCUUGGUUCAGUUGUGGAGAGGGAAGGGAAAUCCUCAUGUCACGAAGCUCUGAGGGAAGGUUGAAAUGCAGUGUGCAGUUCGCAGUGCAGGACCUCUCGACCCGAGCUGCCUCUGCAGUGACUCUGGUGGUGUGGAUGAUACUGGCUGCACUGUUGGAGCUUGGUUUCGGAGAGGAAGAGGUGAGCAGAACCGUAUGUUGCAUCAGCAGUAGUCAGCAUUGUGGAGAAGGUGGGCAUCAUGGCCGGCGUGCUAGUGAAUGCUGGUACUCUGUUUUUUGCAGCUGAUGAUGAGCCUUCAAUUGACUAAGCUGACAAUCGGUGCCUGUGCAUUUCUUGAGUAGAGUGUAAACCCUAGGAGGAGCCUGUCACAGGAAAAAGCUCCUCCUGGAACUGUUCAGCACUCAGUAGGCAACUUGAUGACUGGCCUGAUCUACUUCUGAGGUGCUGAGGCAAGGGGGCUGCUGUUUUGAAACGAUAAU
Molecule: long non-coding RNA, 902 nt
Filed under: Anas platyrhynchos platyrhynchos (common mallard)
Lineage: Eukaryota; Metazoa; Chordata; Aves; Anseriformes; Anatidae
Description: lncRNA (ENSAPLG00000028888.1)
Source: RNAcentral